This is a long non-coding RNA of Ictalurus punctatus (channel catfish), 2350 nucleotides long. The record is from Ensembl. NCBI's taxonomy places the organism in Eukaryota, Metazoa, Chordata, Actinopteri, Siluriformes, Ictaluridae.
AGGCACCGCCAGGCUCCGGGUUACUGAUCGGAAGGGUGUGGUUCAGUCCCCGGCACUGCCAGGCUCUGGGUUACUGAUCAGAAGGGUGGGGUUCAGUUCCCAGCACUGCCAGGCUCUGGGUUACUGAUCGGAAUGGCGGGGUUCGGUCCCCGGCACUGCCAGGCUCUGGGUUACUGAUCAGAAGGGUGGGGUUCAGUUCCCAGCACUGCCAGGCUGUGGGUCACUGAUCGGAAGUUCGGGGUUCAAACCCCAGCACUGCCAGUCUUUGGGUUACUGAUCAGAAGGUCGGGGUUUCAGUCCGCAGCAUUGCCAAACUGCCACUGUUGUGCCCUCCAGGGGCGCUGUACCCUGCGCUGGACCCUGCCCUCAGACCCCCGCUUCCUGACAUGCUGGGGUAUGCGAAGAAACAAUUUCAUUGUGCUGUAAUGUAUAUGUGAUUAAUCAUUAUAGUGAUUACAAUAUAUUGUUCAGCUCUUGUAUGUGUACAGGGCCCAUGGUGUGUCCUGCGCCGUGCCGUGUGUCACAGUGUAAUCCGGUUUACGGCUGCAAGUACAAGUGCUACUACACAAGUGUGUGUGAAGGCUUGAUGAUGGGUAGUCACAUGAAAUAAAACAUCAGUGCAUCUGUUUUCAGGGGUAUUUAGAGCAGCUGUCUUCUCAGCCUAGACACACACACACACACACACACACACACACACACACACACACACAGUGGUCAUGCUGGAAGGUAUACAGCAGUUGUGCCCUGGUGAAUUCUCUCUGUGUGACAGAUGAGGACAGAGUUCCAGCUCUGUUCAGUAUAUUGUGUGUUUUUUGUGCAUGACUUUCUCCCCUAUGCUCGUUUAGUUUAAUUACUGGGAUAGUGAGCUGUGUAAUGACCGUCUCAUCGCUGACCAGCUACUUCCUGUGUUUGCUACUUUUGUAGCCCUCCCUCUAUUUUCCUUGUUGUUGAGUCGAGAUGUUGUGAAUCUCAUCAGACCUCUAAAAUGCUGCAGAGGUUUACGAUCUUAUUAACUCUGUGUGUGUGUGCAUACAUGGAGUGUUUGCAUUUCUGUUUGUCUGUGGGGUUUGAACUGUUUUGAAUUGGAAUGCAUAUGUGGAAAUUAACAAGUAUUUGUGUGUGUGUGUGUGUAUGGGGGAAAAACACAUUGUUUAUCUAUACAGCUGUGUGUGAGCAUAGCAUUUAGUGUGUAUGUGUGAAUGUGCGUUUUGAGCAGUAUUUUCUCUCUCUCUCGCUCUCUCACGCUCUCUCUCCUCUCUCUGAAGCGAGUGCUGUAAUUGAUAUGCCACAAGCAAUAAAUCAGCAGCCGGCCGUGCCACCACACCCCAUUAUCUAAGGAGACAGGUUUAGCGGCCUGUCCAGGGGCUCCGUCUGGGUGUAUGAGGAGUGUGUGUGUGUGUGUGUGUGUUGGGAGGUGUGGUUCAAGUGCCUGUGAGAGUACCUGGAUGUUGAGUCAGGGUGACGUCCUUAGGGUCAAACAAAUGGAGAAGGGAAAGGAGGCAAAAUAAAAUCAUUCCCUGCCAAAUCUCACCAUUUCCCAUACCCAGUCCUCCGUCCUACAACUUGUGCCCUUGUCAUCUAUUAUCUUUUCUUCUUUUCAUCAGCCACUUCCCACGCCCCCCCCCCCCCCCCCCACUACCUCUCUGCUCUGUUUAAAAAUAAAUAAAUAAAUAAAAAUCAUGUGUUUUUGACUCCCAUCUAGACUUGCGAAUAAAAUUGCAAAUAAAAUGUGCUUAAAAAAAGGGAGGAAGGAAAUUGAAAUUUGGCGAGUCGGACGAAGCAAGAAUGCUUUUAUGGAAAUUGGAGAAGGAGAUAUUUUUUUUUUUUCCUUUUUUUUUAUUUUUUUAUCUAGGGAAGAGAAUUGACCAUUUUCCCAGCUGUCAGUCAUUUUCCAGGCACUGUAGCAUAGCCCAGGUUUGAUAACUACCCCGAAUCCGUUUCUCUCUGCACACCAUUGUGCACUAACUCUGCUCGCUAUAAAUGCUUGUGUGUGUGUUGGGCUCGAGCGUUGAUAGCAUUUCGCCCAUUACUGUGCCAGAUAACAACGUGAGUGCGCAGAUGCAAUUUGUCGCGAAAUUUACGGUCUGCUACGUCAAGACUGAUCCUCUCAAAUGAAGAGAAAUGAGUGUUGAGACAAUCUCCUACAGGUUUCUGCCUCUCCCCAUUCUCUCUCUCUCUCUUUCUCUCGCUCGCUCACUCGCAAAUGGCAUGCCUAAAUGAGCUUGCUGUCUCUGUGCGCUACUGUUGUUUUUAAAUUGACAUCUGUUCUCAGUGCAUGAUGUGAUUUGUACAGUUGAGAGCAAAAUUAGUUUUUGGUUUUUUUUUUGUUUGUUUUUUUAUCUUUCUUUUU